CCUGCGGAGGGAUCAUUACAAGAAGCCGAAAGGCUACUUAAAACCAUCGCGAACUCGUCCAAGUUGCUUCGGCGGCGCGGGACCCCUCGGGGGACCGCAGCGCCGCUCCCCCCCCGGGGGUUGCGGGGCGCCCGCCGGAGGUCACAAACUCUCAUGUAUUAUAGUGGAUCUCUGAGUAAAAAACAAAUAAGUUAAAACUUUCAACAACGGAUCUCUUGGUUCUGGCAUCGAUGAAGAACGCAGCGAAAUGCGAUAAGUAAUGUGAAUUGCAGAAUUCAGUGAAUCAUCGAAUCUUUGAACGCACAUUGCGCCCGCUAGUACUCUAGCGGGCAUGCCUGUUCGAGCGUCAUUUCAACCCUCAAGCCCUGCUUGGUGUUGGGGCCCUACGGCUGCCGUAGGCCCUGAAAGGAAGUGGCGGGCUCGCUACAACUCCGAGCGUAGUAAUUCAUUAUCUCGCUUAGGGUGUUGUGCGGUGCUCCAGCCGUUAAAGACCAUCUUUAACUCAAGGUUGACCUCGGAUCAGGUAGGAAUACCCGCUGAACUUAAGCAUAUCAUA
RNAcentral lists this ribosomal RNA (556 nucleotides) under Coniochaeta sp. RNAcentral's name for it is "eukaryotic LSU rRNA". The stretch from base 196 to 349 matches the Rfam family "5.8S ribosomal RNA". The record is from RNAcentral. Lineage: Eukaryota; Fungi; Ascomycota; Sordariomycetes; Coniochaetales; Coniochaetaceae.